This 253-nucleotide ribosomal RNA is filed under the name uncultured bacterium. RNAcentral describes it as "partial 16S ribosomal RNA". It matches the Rfam family "Bacterial small subunit ribosomal RNA", at positions 524 to 776 of the family's 1533-position model. The record is from RNAcentral.
UACGUAGGGGGCUAGCGUUGUCCGGAUUUAUUGGGCGUAAAGAGCGUGUAGGCGGCCAGGUAGGUCUGCUGUGAAAACUCGAGGCUCAACCUCGAGACGUCGGCGGAAACCAUCUGGCUAGAGUCCGGAAGAGGAGAGUGGAAUUCCUGGUGUAGCGGUGAAAUGCGCAGAUAUCAGUCGGAACACCGGCGGCGAAGGCGGCUUCUUGGGCCGUUCCUGACGCUGAUGCGCGAAAGCUGGGGGAGCGAACGGG